GAGAGUAUAGCUCAGUGGUAGAGCAUGUGCUUAGCAUGCACGAGGUCCUGGGUUCAGUUCCCAGCACUCUAU
This 72-nucleotide transfer RNA is filed under the name Camelus bactrianus (Bactrian camel). It matches the Rfam family "tRNA". Rfam says of the family: Transfer RNA (tRNA) molecules are approximately 80 nucleotides in length. The record is from Rfam by way of RNAcentral. RNAcentral also lists the same sequence under 2 other names. Lineage: Eukaryota; Metazoa; Chordata; Mammalia; Artiodactyla; Camelidae.